This 499-nucleotide ribosomal RNA is filed under the name uncultured bacterium. RNAcentral's name for it is "partial 16S ribosomal RNA". It matches the Rfam family "Bacterial small subunit ribosomal RNA", at positions 28 to 507 of the family's 1533-position model. The record is from RNAcentral.
GACGAACGCUGGCGGCGUGCCUAAUACAUGCAAGUCGAGCGAAGUUUUUCUGGUGCUUGCACCGGAAAAACUUAGCGGCGAACGGGUGAGUAACACGUAAAGAACCUGCCUCAUAGACUGGGACAACUAUUGGAAACGAUAGCUAAUACCGGAUAAUAGCAUUAACUGCAUGGUUGAUGUUUAAAAGUUGGUUUUGCUAACACUAUGAGAUGGCUUUGCGGUGCAUUAGCUAGUUGGUGGGGUAAAGGCCUACCAAGGCGCCGAUGCAUAGCCGACCUAAGAGGCUGAUCGCCAACACUGGGACUGAGACACGGCCCAGAGUCCACGGGGCGGCAGCGGAAGGGACUCAUCAGCAACGGGCGAAAGCCAGACGGAGCAACACCGCGUGAGUGAAGCAGAAUCUCGGUUCGUAAAGCUCUGUUGUUAGGGAAGAAUGAUUGAGUAGUAACUCUCCCCAGUAGAGACGGUACCUAACCAGAAAGACACGGCUAGCCACGUG